Molecule: ribosomal RNA, 753 nt
Filed under: uncultured bacterium
Lineage: Bacteria
Description: bacterial SSU rRNA
Rfam family: Bacterial small subunit ribosomal RNA
Source: RNAcentral
AGCGGCGCAAGGGUGAGUAACGCGUAGUUAUCUGCCCCAGGGUCCAGAAUAGCUUCGGGAAACUGAAGGUAAUGCUGGAUAAUAUCUCCGGAUCAAAGGUGAGAUUCCGCCCUGGGAGGAGACUGCGUCCUACUAGCUUGUUGGUGGGGUAAUGGCCUACCAAGGCUACGAUGGGUAGCGGGCGUGAGAGCGUGGCCCGUCACACUGGGACUGAGACACUGCCCAGACACCUACGGGUGGCUGCAGUCGAGAAUCUUCCUCAAUGGGCGAAAGCCUGAAGGAGCAAUGCCGCGUGCGGGAUGAAGGCCCUCGGGUUGUAAACCGCGAAAGUAAGGAGGAAGGCUUUGUGAAGAGCAAAGUUUGACCAAUUUACAGUAAGGACGGGCUAAGUUCGUGCCAGCAGCCGCGGUAAGACGAACCGUCCAAACGUUAUUCGGAAUUAUUGGGCUUAAAGGGUGCGUAGGCGGCGCUGUAAGUCAGGUGUGAAAUCCCACGGCUCAACCGUGGAACUGCGCUUGAUACUGCAGUGCUUGAGGGAGACAGAGGUAAGCGGAACUGAUGGUGGAGCGGUGAAAUGCGUUGAUAUCAUCAGGAACACCAGUGGCGAAAGCGGCUUACUGGGUCUCUUCUGACGCUGAGGCACGAAAGCUAGGGUAGCGAACGGGAUUAGAUACCCCGGUAGUCCUAGCCGUAAACGAUGAGCACUUGAUUGAGGACCCUCCCAUAGGUUCUUGGUCGAAGCGAAAGUGAUAA